GGAGUCGCCCGUGCCGCCUGCCGACGGCCAGGAUGCCGGCCUGGUCGCACCGCUCGCCCAGCAAGAGGACGAGGGCACGGCGCCGCCCUCCCCGUCGGCGGGGCCCUCGUCGGUGGUGGUGCCCUCCGCGGCGCCCUCCGCGGUGCCUUCCGUGGCCCCCACCCCGGCGGGGCCCUCCACCUCGGCCGCCUCAGAGCCUCCCGGGGGCACCCCAGGGCCCUCCAGCACCACGACGCCCACCACGGUGGUAAAGCCGCUGCCGCCUCCGCUCGCAGCCACCAAGAGCGAGGAGAGGGCCUCUGUUGAGCGAGGCUCCUCGCAGGAAGGCAAGGUCAACGAGAUCUGUCCCUGGGAGGAUCAAGAGGACUGCAAGGUGGACGAGCCGUUUACUAAGAAAUACUCCCAUUUUGGAUACUUGUAACACAUUUGGCCUUUAAAGUUAUUGAUUCUUUUAUAUGUAAGUUGGACUUAUGUACCUUUUUAAAUGUUUCAAAGGAUUGGUUGUGAAAGUUAUUUACGUACACAAUGCUGUGAACAAUCAAGUAACACAGAGCCGUUCUGUGAGAGCAAGAGAAUGUUACCCCGUUAUCACGGAGUUAACGUGGUCACCAUCUUAAAGCGUUUUUGUGCAGUUUUAAAGGAGUUUUUCUAAAGAAUUUUGUUUGCCAAUGGUUAACGAGUUAAAGGAGAGUUCAUAGACAUAUGUGGAAGAAAAGCGGGUUGGCGUUUCGCUUUUGGCUUCGUAUCUAACCUGAAGACAGUGGUUGAGAAAGUAGAUUGAAAAUUCAGCGCUGAUGGAGUCUUUUUAGAAGCACGAUGACUGCUAAUGGAGGCAACACUUAACCACAUCGGUGACUUGCUUGACGUCCGAUAAAACUUCCCCUCUCAUUCCUAGGGACUAUGCUGGUUUGUCCGAGGAGUAUUUCGUCUCACAUCAAAUUUUGCAAAUGUGUCGUUUCUGUUUCGCUCAAUGUCCCCUCACCGUUCCCUCAAAGCUAGGCCAGCAGUGAAGCUGUGGAGCCGCGGAGCUCGGCGGCCGGAGCGCGCUUUGCCAGGGCGCCGACAAACCUGAGCCCUUGCUCGGCAUGCCCUCACGAAGCGGGGCGAUGGCCGCCGGGCGGCUCCUCGGGAGACCUGCUUCGCUGCUCGCCAGCUGACAGCAAUAAGGCAGCCGUUCCUUUAUCGUAUUACUACUGUUAUCGUUACUAACAUUAAUAUCGUCGUUAUUUACUUACUAUAACUUUGGGAAGAAGCUAGGGUGGCUUUGCGCGUGAGCACAGUUAUUAUUACCUCUGUAUAGUUCGCACGUUUUGAAGUAUUUAUAUGAGUGUAUUCUAGCGGUAGCCGCGUGUGUUGUUUCGUAGGUGCAAGUUACGCACGUAUGUCCUCUGGUUGUCACUUUUAUUCAUUCAUUGUUUUCCCCCGUAACCAAUGGGCGAGGGUGGCGUCCACAGCGCCCUCUUGUGAACGACGUGCAACCCCCUCACACGGGUCGAUUGCCGUUUCCUAUCUCGUCCGCGCUGCUUCUCGAUCUGUGCCACGCUGGCGUUCGUGCGCGGCGCCAGAACAUAAGUCGAACGGAGAAGACAACGCGGAGACGACGACCUGCUCAAGUCGUAUGUGGAGGGCAGGUUGACUCUGUCAACGAGAAACGCGACGUCCAUUAGUCGGGCUUUGACCGCGUGAAUCUUACUUGGAGUAGAAGUCUUGGCAAGGUUCUGUUAGGAUUUGAUACCUCUCUCUUAUAAUAAAAUUGACAAGUAGCUCUAUAUUAUUUCCUACAAACUUCAUGUUUGUCUUUAGUAUAGAUAACUUUAUUCGUUAUUUCGCUUUCUUAUCGACCUUAUGAAUAUUAAUAACACAAUACCAUUCUACAUUUAUCAUUAUACCAUGUGUGUAAUAUUAAUGCAUAUAUUAACCCAUCUUAUCUAGUUUGUAAGAAAAUUUUCUUCUGGAAUGUCUGCCUUACUGCGAUUGCAAUUUAUAUCACUUCGGAUUCCCUCUGUGGAACUGUCAAUAGUCGCCCUACGAGUCUAUUUUUAAGCAAUUAAGCAGUCAUCGCGCUGAAAGUUGAAAAUGCACAAGUAAUGAACUCUCUACAGACAAUAUUCCAUGCGAGGUUCUUUUAAUUCUGUGUUUAACUGUCAAAAUCUUAGAAAGCAUUUUCUUUGUAAACUUACAAGGAGUCUGAUUUCUUUGUAUGACAAAGCAAUGCUUUGUAUUGCGAAGUACCAGUAUUUUUCUUCCAAAGAAAUAUGUUUCGUAUUACAAAUCAGUGCUUUGCAAGCUACGAAGCCGGUCCUUUGUAACACAGUGCAUCUGUUUCUUUGUAGCUUACAAAGAAAAUCCUUUGUAAUUCAAAGCAAUGCUUUAUAGAUUUUUUACAGUAAAUGCCUCAUUGCACUCAAAAUGAAACUGCAUCAAACCGUGAACCUUGAUGUGACUUCAUGGCUAUCACGUUAACGCUCUUCUACAUAAAAGCAAACUUUUUUUUGGCUGAAUCAGAAUCGACAACGAUGAAAUGUGUGCCCUUUUUAAUAAAGUCCCGGCUCACAACGUCAUUAUGGAAUGUGUGAAGAUAUGAAACUGCCGUCCUGGCUGUUUUCGUCAAGAACUGUGUUACUUGAGACGGGAGCCACAAACUUGUGAAUUCUUUUGUUUUUAAAUGAAAUCUCAUCGGUGCUUUUGACUUGUAAGUAUAGCGUGAUAUAGAACAAAAAGCAUCAGUGAAGACAAGCUGCGCAUGUCGUAGUGCACUCACGUAAAUCAUUAGAUUCCAAACUAGUUUCCUAAAUUAUUGACGUGCACACUGUCAUUGCUGGAGUCAGUAGAGAUAUACGGGUAAUAAUUCUCUAGGAGAACAAGGUAUAACAUUUUCGGUGGUCGUAGUAGGCACGGAAGAAUGUAACGGAACUUGCGGUGGAACCAGGGCUAUGAAUAAUUUGCAUGUUUUACAACUUCACUUUGUCAGCCUGAUUCUGAAUGAAAAUUCGUUCACGUUCUGGAGGGUUGUCACUCACUUGCCAAAUGUGACUUGCGAUUGUGUAAGAGCGGUGCGAUCUAGAGAAGGAGACCAGCGCCUGCCGGGCUCCGGGUAGGGAACCCAUUCGACAGUGCUGCAGAGUGGGACAGGUCAGUUCAGCGGCACAGUGAGUGUGUGGGAGGAAGAUGUAGCACCUGACGAAUGGUCUCUGUGUGUUCAUAUGUUUGGUUGUGGAGGUUUGUGUGGUAUUUUGGUGCUUCAAUACAUCCUAUGCACGGGGAGGGCGGUGACAAUAUUUAAUUUAAACUAGGAAAUUUUUUUAAAGUGUUGCAAGUAUUUAAGUUCUUUUUGACAAAACGUGUUAUAGUUAAUUUUUGACACUUGGCAGUCGCGUGAAGCCGCAUGUAAGUCCAAGUGGAUUGGUGCUAUGGCAGAACCUUGGUGAGUGAGCAGCCGAGUGGGGUCGGACUGUCCACCGUGGACAGAACUGCUCCAUGGACCCGUGCUCCAGUUGCCAAUGGUUUUCCGCCAGACUUAGGAGCAUAUCAUUGAAAUAAAUUCUGUUGUUGUCUUGGCUGCUAAUAGGUAUCGAUGUGCUGAUCUAGUUGAAACGUUUUAAGGGUGUGGUCACUGGUUGAGAAUGAUUUUAAUGUAAACAUAUAUUUGCUUCGCCAUGUUUCCGUUUUUCAUCCAUAAAAAAUACUGUACUAGAUUUUAAGGAUCGUCAUCACUUUUUAAAUGCACAAAUACUUGAACAACUUCUUAUUACAUUUUGAUAUUAUUUUUCGCGUAGCCAAGUGCCUUUGUGUGAUACGUGUGGAGAGAGGCAUCGACGUGCUCCAAAUUACUUUAUUUUCCGGUGAUUGUUAAGCAUCAAAUAGUGGCAGAAAUACUUUGCUCGCGAUCAUGCCAUGUCAUGCACGGCAAUCUUUAAUUUUACACGUUUGCUCGACAUCAAAGUCAUUGAUCUCAUUGUAUUAAUCGGAAGAUCAACAACAGCUCUGUAGAGUUAGACCAAAGCCCAUACUUUGUUUAGGCAGCCACCGUGAAGGGAGUUUGUACCAUAGGUGACCUAGUUAAUGGUGUAAAUAUGUAUGUUGAUCGAAGUGAAGGGCAAGUAAAGUGAUUUGAAUGACCUUUCGCCGCGUCUCGGAAGAUAGCGCAGCUUCGGGUAGUUGGGGCAUUAUACUUUUUAUAUUGUUGUAUCAUAUAGUUGUUCUUUGUCGCGAUGCGUAACUAAUUUAUUUUGUAAGAUGGCCUACAUGUAUUGUGUUUGUACUUCGGUUUGUGACGACUUAAAGCUAAUGAACCAAAUGUAAUUGUUGAUAUUGCCAUUUUAGAUUAUUGUUCGUUUAUUAAUUUUCGAAGGAGGACUUCACUUUGUGUGAAAAUGUAAUGAUCGUUAUAUAGACAAAUAAGUGUGAUUCAUGUUACGAUGACUGGCCUAUUGCCUAUAUUGUUGUUCAAUCUUAUUUUUGAAGAGAUAAAAGUUACCAUUUACAGGUAUCUUUACAGUAAUCUUGUCCGUUACUACGUCUCGUAUAUUCAAGAUUUUUGUGAAUCAAAGGCGGGUUUGAAAUUUUUUUAGGGCAUUGGCUGGUUGCUGAUUUGAACAAAUGUUACUAACGCUUUGUCAGAGGGCCUCAUUAGUGGACAGUUGGUCUAAUUUGUAAUCAUCUAUAGGCAUGUCAGGAAGAGAACAUUUUGAAAAAGUUUUGAGGACGAUCUUACAAAUAUGGUUGAUAAGCUUUUAAUUAUUUUACAUUGUAACAUGAUAUCGCAGGAACAGAUGACCUGCCAUCAUCGGACAUUCGCAGCGCGGCCUCUUAUCACUCCAACGGUUACUGACUCCAUUAAAGGCUUUUUUGUGAGGCAAGUUACAAAUAAAUACUGAAGUUGUUAUUUUUAUUUUGUUUGUAUGAAUGUAUGUAUGAAAUUAAAAAAUCACAAACAGUGGGUUAGUAACUGGAGUGAUAUUAGGAUGAAGUGAAAGGGGUCGAAUUGUAGAGCUAUAAUCGGCCAUGAUACCGUCUAAUGACUAAAUGACUAGAAACUAGUUUUAAGUGUCGCCGGGAGUUUGUUCAGCCGAAAAGCAUUUGUUUAGUGAUAGAUGUGCUCUGAAAAUAAAAUUUCUUUUUCUCAAUGUAUUUUACAAUAGUUAAUCUUGCAAAAAUAAUGGUAUUGUUUGUAGUAUUUCAAGGUGGAAUAUAGGCAACCUUAGUCUUUUAAAUAUAUUAAAUACUGUUAGCUACAAGGCAA
This is a long non-coding RNA of Frankliniella occidentalis (western flower thrips), 5242 nucleotides long. RefSeq lists it as uncharacterized. The transcript is spliced from 2 exons. The record is from RefSeq and is a predicted model, not a curated record. Lineage: Eukaryota; Metazoa; Arthropoda; Insecta; Thysanoptera; Thripidae.